AUGUCUCUUGAUGCUGCUGAGCUUGCCAAGCUCUUCGCUGGCGGUCUUCGAGAUGCAACAGACCUCCUGUGUUUUCUAGUGUGUUUGGCUGGACAUAUGUUGCUCGUCUUAUAUGAAAAGGGGUCGAUCUUUGUUCUAAAAAAGGAUGUCAAGAUAGGUAAGUUCGUGGCUUUGGACAACAUCGGCAGGUAUGCCAUCUUCAUUGGUCCUCAGAGGUGCCUGGCUGUCGAUGCUGACAAGUUCCCAGGCAUCGAGGCAAACUGCGCCUACUUCACUGAACAACUGGGUUCGUCCGUUCAUAUCUGCAAGUGCAACAUCAAGGACAGGAAAGUUGAGAGGAUCUCUGAAGCUGCCGAUUUCGUGAAGCAGGACAAGAAGUUUGCCCUCACCGCUGACCAUCCUUCGACGAUCAUCCACCUUCUCUCCGGCUACACCCUCAACAUCCCGGAUUCUCAACUGGCUUUGCAACAGGUUCCAUAA
RNAcentral lists this ribosomal RNA (480 nucleotides) under Triticum aestivum (bread wheat). RNAcentral describes it as "partial small subunit ribosomal RNA". Lineage: Eukaryota; Viridiplantae; Streptophyta; Magnoliopsida; Poales; Poaceae. The record is from RNAcentral.